Molecule: ribosomal RNA, 955 nt
Filed under: Gyalolechia bracteata subsp. deformis
Lineage: Eukaryota; Fungi; Ascomycota; Lecanoromycetes; Teloschistales; Teloschistaceae
Description: eukaryotic LSU rRNA
Rfam family: Eukaryotic large subunit ribosomal RNA
Source: RNAcentral
AAUUGACCUCGGAUCAGGUAGGGAUACCCGCUGAACUUAAGCAUAUCAAUAAGCGGAGGAAAAGAAACCAACCGGGAUUGCCUCAGUAACGGCGAGUGAAGCGGCAACAGCUCAAAUUUGAAAUCUGACCCUGUCGGGGUUCGAGUUGUAAUUUGUAGAGGAUGUUUCGGGCGCGAAGCCGGUCUAAGUCCCUUGGAACGGGGCGUCAUAGAGGGUGAGAAUCCCGUCUGUGACCGGCGAUCAAGCCUCUGUGAAACUCCUUCGACGAGUCGAGUUGUUUGGGAAUGCAGCUCAAAAUGGGUGGUAAAUUUCAUCUAAAGCUAAAUACUGGCCAGAGACCGAUAGCGCACAAGUAGAGUGAUCGAAAGAUGAAAAGCACUUUGGAAAGAGAGUCAAAAAGUACGUGAAAUUGUUGAAAGGGAAGCGCUUGCAACCAGACCUGCCCGCGGGCGAUCAGCCGUCCCUUCCAGGGCGGUGCACGCGCCCGCGAACAGGCCAGCAUCGGUUCGGGCGGCCGGAUAAAGGCCCGGGGAACGUAGCUCCUCUCGGGGAGUGUUAUAGCCCCGGGUGCAAUGCGGCCCGCCUGGACCGAGGACCGCGCUUCGGCUAGGAUGCUGGCGUAAUGGUUGUAAGCGGCCCGUCUUGAAACACGGACCAAGGAGUCUAACAUCUAUGCGAGUGUUUGGGUGUCAAACCCAUGCGCGUAAUGAAAGUGAACGGAGGUAGGAACCCACCAGGGCGCACUAUCGACCGAUCCUGAAGUCUUCGGAUGGAUUUGAGUACGAGCAUAGCUGUUGGAACCCGAAAGAUGGUGAACUAUGCCUGAAUAGGGUGAAGCCAGAGGAAACUCUGGUGGAGGCUCGCAGCGGUUCUGACGUGCAAAUCGAUCGUCAAAUUUGGGUAUAGGGGCCGAAAAGACUAAUCGAACAUCUAGUAGCCUGGUCAGCCGAAGUUC